This 209-nucleotide long non-coding RNA is filed under the name Elaeis guineensis (African oil palm). RNAcentral describes it as "long non-coding RNA (EGUI_LNC063805)". Lineage: Eukaryota; Viridiplantae; Streptophyta; Magnoliopsida; Arecales; Arecaceae. The record is from RNAcentral.
AUACAUGGUUACCGCAUAAUUUAUUCUUUUGACCCUGAAUGCUCUAGGAUGGUCUCAAGUUAACUGUCAACCAAGAUUGCUUCAUCUAUAUUGUAUAUUUCAACAUUUCAAAUCCAUCUCAUGGAUUAUCUUGAUCAAGGCUUUGCUAAAUUGAAAUACAAUGAUGCAUCAACUCUAAUAAUUCGAAGGGGUCAAUCUUAUCUUAAUCC